NNNNNNNNNNNNNNNNNUGCAACGCGAAGAACCUUGCCUGGUCUUGACAUCCACAGAACUUAGCAGAGAUGCUUUGGUGCCUUCGGGAACUGUGAGACAGGUGCUGCAUGGCUGUCGUCAGCUCGUGUUGUGAAAUGUUGGGUUAAGUCCCGCAACGAGCGCAACCCUUAUCCUUUGUUGCCAGCGAUUCGGUCGGGAACUCAAAGGAGACUGCCGGUGAUAAACCGGAGGAAGGUGGGGAUGACGUCAAGUCAUCAUGGCCCUUACGAGUAGGGCUACACACGUGCUACAAUGGCGCAUACAAAGAGAAGCGACCUCGCGAGAGCAAGCGGACCUCACAAAGUGCGUCGUAGUCCGGAUCGGAGUCUGCAACUCGACUCCGUGAAGUCGGAAUCGCUAGUAAUCGUGGAUCAGAAUGCCACGGUGAAUACGUUCC
This 436-nucleotide non-coding RNA is filed under the name Oryza sativa Indica Group (long-grained rice). RNAcentral's name for it is "Bacterial small subunit ribosomal RNA". It matches the Rfam family "Bacterial small subunit ribosomal RNA", at positions 938 to 1374 of the family's 1533-position model. The record is from Rfam by way of RNAcentral. Lineage: Eukaryota; Viridiplantae; Streptophyta; Magnoliopsida; Poales; Poaceae.